UUUUAAUAGAAAAUAAUUAUUAGUAAAAUCUGCUCAAUGAUAUUUCAAUAGCCGCAAUUUAUUUGUGCUAAGGUAGCAUAAUCACUUGUCUUUUAAUUAAAGACUAGAAUGAAAGAUUAUACAUUUUAAUCACUUCAUUAAUUUUAAUUUUCUAAAUUAUAUUAAACAUAAAAAUAUUUUUUUGAAAAAAAAAGACGACAAGACCCUAUAGAAUUUCACUUUAGUUAAACUGGGGCAGUUAAUUAAUUAAAAUUUUAAUUUAAAUUCACCUUUAAAUGACCCUUUAACAAAGAUUUCUUAAACAAAUUACCUUAGGGAUAACAGCGUAAUAAAUUUCUAAAGAUCUUAUUAAAAAAUUUGAUUACGACCUCGAUGUUGAAUAAUUAUCUAUAACACGAAAAAGUAUUAUAAGAAAGUCUGUUCGACUUUUAAUAUUUUACA
This 441-nucleotide ribosomal RNA is filed under the name Chresiona invalida. Its description in RNAcentral is "partial 16S ribosomal RNA". Lineage: Eukaryota; Metazoa; Arthropoda; Arachnida; Araneae; Macrobunidae. The record is from RNAcentral.